This 1535-nucleotide ribosomal RNA is filed under the name metagenome. Its description in RNAcentral is "bacterial LSU rRNA". It matches the Rfam family "Bacterial large subunit ribosomal RNA", at positions 1365 to 2925 of the family's 2925-position model. The record is from RNAcentral.
CUCUGAUCUGCUCUGGGUAAGUCGGGACCUAAGGCGAGGCCGAGAGGCGUAGCCGAUGGACAACAGGUUGAGAUUCCUGUACUGCUGUAUAUCAGAACUGUGGGGACACAGAGGGAAAGCACAGGCGCGGAACGGAAAGCCGCGUGCAAGCGAGGUACCGGACUGGUAGGAAAAACCGCCAGCCAACGGGAAGACGUGAUGCGGACCGAAAUUUAGUAGGGAAGUGUGUGAGCCAGCUGUCAAGAAAAGCCGCUAUUGUGUAUACAGUACCCGUACCGUAAACCGACACAGGUGGAUGAGGAGAGAAUCCUAAGGCCGGCGGAAGAAGUAUUGUCAAGGAACUCGGCAAAAUGACCCUGUAACUUCGGGAGAAAGGGUGCCUCGAAAGAGGCCGCAGAGAAUUGGCCCAAGCAACUGUUUAGCAAAAACACAGGUCUAUGCGAAACCGAAAGGUGAGGUAUAUGGGCUGACGCCUGCCCGGUGCUGGAAGGUUAAGGGGAGAUGUUAGAGCAAUCGAAGCAUCGAACUUAAGCCCCAGUAAACGGCGGCCGUAACAAUAACGGUCCUAAGGUAGCGAAAUUCCUUGUCGGGUAAGUUCCGACCCGCACGAAAGGCGUAAUGAUUUGGGCGCUGUCUCGACAAUACAUCCGGUGAAAUUGAAGUACCAGUGAAGAUGCUGGUUACCCGCGCCAGGACGGAAAGACCCCAUGGAGCUUUACUCCAGCUUGAUACUGGGAUUCGGUAUUGCAUGUACAGGAUAGGUGGGAGGCUAAGAAGCAUGGACGCCAGUCUAUGUGGAGCCGCUGUUGGGAUACCACCCUUGCGGUAUUGGAUUUCUAACCAGCCGCCGUGAAACCGGCGGUGGGACAAUGUCAGGCGGGGAGUUUGACUGGGGCGGUCGCCUCCGAAAGGGUAUCGGAGGCGCCCAAAGGUUCCCUCAGAAUGGUUGGAAACCAUUCGAAGAGUGCAAAGGCAGAAGGGAGCUUGACUGUGACACCGACGGGUGGAGCAGGUACGAAAGUAGGGCUUAGUGAUCCGGUGGUAUUAAGUGGGAAUGCCAUCGCUCAACGGAUAAAAGCUACCCUGGGAUAACGCUUAUCACUCCCAAGAGUUCACAUCGACGGAGUGGUUUGGCACCUCGAUGUCGGCUCAUCGCAUCCUGGGGCUGUAGUAGGUCCCAAGGGUUGGGCUGUUCGCCCAUUAAAGCGGUACGCGAGCUGGGUUCAGAACGUCGUGAGACAGUUCGGUCCCUAUCCGGCGUGGGCGCAGGAUAUUUGAGAGGAGCUGUCCUUAGUACGAGAGGACCGGGAUGGACUGACCUCUGGUGCACCGGUUGUUCCGCCAGGAGCAUAGCCGGGUAGCCAAGUCGGGAAGGGAUAAACGCUGAAGGCAUCUAAGCGUGAAGCCCCCCUCAAGAUGAGAUAUCCCAUGCGAAAGCGAUAAGACCCCUUGAAGACGACGAGGUAGAUAGGUCAGAGGUGGAAGUGCAGUAAUGCAUGGAGCUGACUGAUACUAAUAGGUCGAAGGCUUAACCU